UACGUAGGGAGCAAGCGUUGUUCGGAUUUACUGGGCGUAAAGGGCGCGUAGGCGGCAAUUCAAGUCAUCUGUGAAAUCUCCGGGCUUAACUCGGAACGGUCAGGUGAAACUGCUUUGCUAGAGUGCGGAAGGGGCAAUCGGAAUUCUCGGUGUAGCGGUGAAAUGCGUAGAUAUCGAGAGGAACACCUGAGGUGAAGACGGGUUGCUGGGCCGACACUGACGCUGAAGCGCGAAAGCCAGGGGAGCAAACGGG
This 253-nucleotide ribosomal RNA is filed under the name uncultured bacterium. Its description in RNAcentral is "partial 16S ribosomal RNA". It matches the Rfam family "Bacterial small subunit ribosomal RNA", at positions 524 to 776 of the family's 1533-position model. The record is from RNAcentral.